UAUCUGUGGCAAGGUGGUUGGACUGCAUUGCUAGGCCCUGCUCAUUUCUGCACCAUUCGUAAUCUGAAUUUACGGCAUCCUGACGAUCUCAUGAAUCAUUCUACUGCAGGUGGUGGGCCUCAGGCUGGGGUUCGUUUGAGCCCAUGGCAGCAUCAGGGAACCCAAAAAGGUUGUCAGCAGGCAACCCUGGAUGACCUGCAGCUCAUCUCUCGGCUGGCUGGCUAGAGACUGUAGUGCUUCACGCAUAAAAAAUAUGAGUGAGGGCUCAAUGAACUCCUGAGCCAUGCUUGGGCUUUUGAGGGAGGCAGGGAGGGUGAAGCAAGACUGAGAUAUUAGAAACCCAUGUGUCACCUGGGGGACUUUUGCCUACUGAGUUCCUGGGGAUCUCAAUGAAUGGCAAUGCCCUCCUCACUUUUUAACUGGAUUCUGUCCCGAGCGAUGUUUUCUCUCUGAUUCUAUAACCAUUUCUUUUCAGAGGGCUGUAUGCAGGCCAUGGAGAGCAGGAGCACUCGGCCUGAGCAUUGUUCAUAUAGAUUCUCCCUAAUGGAGCCUAGCCUGAGAGUGACCUCACAUCAUGCUAGCCAUCAGCUGAACGUUGCUCUGCAGGGAGAACGAAAACAGGUGGUUCUCACCAUGAAUCAAAGAGGUAUUGAAUGUUACACUGGAUCUCAGCCGUGUGAGUGCAGGUUUCAUAGUGGCAAAAUGAACCUCAUCUCUGUGUGACUUGUCCUUGAGGCUAGCAUUUUUCCAUGCCAAUGGCCCGUAAAUCAUCCCCCAGGUCAUGCCUAGGCCCAGGGCACCGGCACGCUUGGCCUCCCAGUCCUGAGCACACUGCUUGCUGCAUAGCUGGCAGAGUGAUUACAUUUGGGCUGCAUUGCUAAUGAUGCCUUGAUCACUCUACUUAAUUCAAACUAGGCAGGGCAGGUUUAGCCUGCACCUAAAGUUGUACUGAAGAUCGCGCAAAUGGCACGCAGUAGGAAUGAGGGCUAACUAUGCUGUAAACAGCUCUUCAGUGUUCUGUGCGAUUCAAAUGAGGGGAAAUGCAGGCUCACUCCAAGACUCUCUGAUGGAUCUUGCUGUGCGAUUUUCUAUCUCUGACAAGGUGGGCAGGCUGCAUGGCCAGGCCCUGCUCAUUUACCCCCCCCAGUUGUAUUCUGAAUGGAUGGCAUUCUUACGAACUCAUGACCCAUUCCUUUGCAGGUGGUUGGCCUUAGGCUGGGGUUAGUUGGAGCCCAUUGCAGCAUCAUCGGAACCUAAAAGUUGUGCAGGAGGCAACCCUGGAUGAUCUGGGGCUCAUCAUUCCACUGGCUGGCUAACUAGAAACUGUAGUGUUCCACAGACAAUGGUUUGAGCAAAGGCUCCUUGAGCUCUUAAACGAUGCUAGGCCUUUUGCGGGAGGUGCGUAGUUUGAAUGCAGAGUGAGAGCUCGGCAACAGAUGGUUCAAUUGGGGGCCUUUUCCAUACUGUGUCUAUGGGGGCCUCAAUGCAUGGCCAUGCCCUGCCUAUUUUUCUAAAGUGUUCUCUCCCAACUGAUGUUUUCUUUCUGACUCGAUAACCAUUCCUUUUCAGAUGACUGUAUGCAUGCUGUGGUGAGCAGGAGCACUCGCCCUGAAUAACUGUUCUUACAGAGUCUCCCUGAUGGAGCCAGGUCUGAGAGUGAGCUCACUUCUUCCUAGCUUAAUGCUCAAAGUUGCACUGCAAGGAGGACGACGUGAAGUGGUUCUCACAGUGCUGUGAAGAGGGACUAAAUGUUACACUGGAUGCCAGCCUUAGUCUCCAUGAUGGAGCCAGGGCUCAGAGUGAGCUCACUUCGUGCUAGCUUAAAGCUCAAAGUCCCACUGCAAGGAGGACGACAUCAGGUGGUUCUCACAAUGCGUCGAAGAGGGACUAAAUGUUUCACUGGAUGCUAGCCUUCUGUCUACUUAGAGCUCUAUCAACACAAGCUUCAGGACGUUCUGCUGCAUGAAAGGAUGGUGGAGCAGCAAAGGGUCGUGCAGGCCCCUGGACACUACUUUGCACUCUACUCCAACUGCCUCAUCUUCCCCUUGACCUGGCCAUGAAGUCUCUGAGCCAAUGCUGCUCAGUUUAGGCUUGCAUGUGGCUGGGAUAACCAGGCUGACCUCUACCUCACAGUCAUCUUACUGCCUCAACCUCCUAAGUGCAUUUCGUCUCUCU
This is a long non-coding RNA of Fukomys damarensis (Damara mole-rat), 2175 nucleotides long. RefSeq lists it as uncharacterized. The transcript has 4 exons. The record is from RefSeq and is a predicted model, not a curated record. NCBI's taxonomy places the organism in Eukaryota, Metazoa, Chordata, Mammalia, Rodentia, Bathyergidae.